Sceloporus undulatus (fence lizard) is the source of this 487-nucleotide long non-coding RNA. RefSeq lists it as uncharacterized. The record is from RefSeq and is a predicted model, not a curated record. The transcript is spliced from 3 exons. NCBI's taxonomy places the organism in Eukaryota, Metazoa, Chordata, Lepidosauria, Squamata, Phrynosomatidae.
GCAGAUAACAGCUGGGUUUCUGCUGUCUUCAUUCAGCUCUGAGGAGGGAAAUCCCAGCUCAUAUCUCCAAUAAGUCAGCAGAUACAAGUACAAUGCUGGAGGAAGAAGAGAGGCAUCUGCUGAAGAGGCAUAUAGGCCAAUGGGGAAUCUCUGUAGGCCAAACCCAGCCUAUGGACCAGAGGUGCCUGAUUCCUGGUAUAAAUCUUAACUGUUGAGUGGAGACCAUUGGCAAUUGGCUCCCAGCUGUUCGUAUGCAUCACCAUUGCUGUCACUCACCUCUAGAGAUGUAGGAUCCCCCUGCAGAUCAUCCAUUAGGAGACACUUUAACAGUUUCAAAUCUUCCCAGUCUUCAGUUAAAGCCCAGGAGAAGACAUGAAGUGUCUCACUGCAUGAGGUUACAGCAAUGGAGAGCAGAAGGAAAGAAAGAAGGAAGAUAGAGCUCUUAGAAAAAAUAAUAAGCAAUAACUACUUGGCUAAAAUCACCCCC